UUCGGGCGCCGGCGAGUGGCGAACGGGUGAGUAACACGUGGAGACCUAUCCAUUGGUGGGGGACAACAGCUGGAAACGGCUGCUAAUACCGCAUAAUCCCUACGGGGGAAAGAUUUAUCGCCAUAGGAGGGUUCCGCGUCGGAUUAGCUAGUUGGUGGGGUAACGGCCUACCAAGGCAACGAUCCGUAGCUGGUCUUAGAGGAUGAUCAGCCACACUGGGACUGAGACACGGCCCAGACUCCUACGGGAGGCAGCAGUGGGGAAUAUUGCGCAAUGGAGGAAACUCUGACGCAGCGAUGCCGCGUGGGUGAAGAAGGCCUUAGGGUUGUAAAGCCCUUUCAGUGGGAACGAUGGUGACGGUACCCACAGAAGAAGCCCCGGCUGACUCCGUGCCAGCAGCCGCGGUAAUACGGAGGGGGCGAGCGUUGUUCGGAAUUAUUGGGCGUAAAGCGCGCGUAGGCGGUUUAUUAAG
RNAcentral lists this ribosomal RNA (472 nucleotides) under uncultured Magnetococcus sp. Its description in RNAcentral is "bacterial SSU rRNA". It matches the Rfam family "Bacterial small subunit ribosomal RNA", at positions 79 to 587 of the family's 1533-position model. The record is from RNAcentral. Lineage: Bacteria; Pseudomonadati; Pseudomonadota; Magnetococcia; Magnetococcales; Magnetococcaceae.